RNAcentral lists this ribosomal RNA (72 nucleotides) under Chrysomya albiceps (hairy maggot blowfly). RNAcentral describes it as "partial 5.8S ribosomal RNA". Lineage: Eukaryota; Metazoa; Arthropoda; Insecta; Diptera; Calliphoridae. The record is from RNAcentral.
UUUGAACGCAUAUCGCAGUCCAUGCUGUAAGGUACUUUAAUUUAUAAUUGAAGUGCUGCUUGGACUACAUAU